GCCGAAAUAGCUCAAUUGGUAGAGCAAUUGAUUUGUAAUCAAUAGGUUACGGGUUCAAGUCCUGUUUUCGGCACCA
RNAcentral lists this transfer RNA (76 nucleotides) under Bacillota bacterium. Its description in RNAcentral is "tRNA-Thr". It matches the Rfam family "tRNA". From Rfam's summary of the family: Transfer RNA (tRNA) molecules are approximately 80 nucleotides in length. Their secondary structure includes four short double-helical elements and three loops (D, anti-codon, and T loops). Further hydrogen bonds mediate the characteristic L-shaped molecular structure. tRNAs have two regions of fundamental functional importance: the anti-codon, which is responsible for specific mRNA codon recognition, and the 3' end, to which the tRNAs corresponding amino acid is attached (by aminoacyl-tRNA synthetases). tRNAs cope with the degeneracy of the genetic code in two manners: having more than one tRNA (with a specific anti-codon) for a particular amino acid; and 'wobble' base-pairing, i.e. permitting non-standard base-pairing at the 3rd anti-codon position. Lineage: Bacteria; Bacillati; Bacillota. RNAcentral also lists the same sequence under 1 other name. The record is from RNAcentral.